Manis javanica (Malayan pangolin) is the source of this 335-nucleotide long non-coding RNA. RefSeq lists it as uncharacterized. The record is from RefSeq and is a predicted model, not a curated record. Lineage: Eukaryota; Metazoa; Chordata; Mammalia; Pholidota; Manidae.
AAUGCAGGGAGCACAAGGGACCAGGCAUUUGCUGUCAGGACAAUGCAGCCGGGAGGGCAGCUAUAAGGAGGCUGAUGCACCAAGCAAGCAACCCAGGCAUUCUUGGCAAUAUCUGGGGAGAGGUAGAGAAGGUGGAGAAAAGACUGAACUGGUUGCUAUUUUACAUGGGAAGAAAUAUGACUGUAUAUGGUACUCGGCAGCUGGUGAGGUCUGGGACAUUGAGUAAUAUGGCUGUGCUGUGAACGCCGUCACCCAGACAGAACGGUGCUCCCAAUUAGGGACAGAUAAAAUGAGAGCUCCUGUGUCCAGGAUUCUCCCCUGGUUGUGGUUGACUA